UGAGGAAUAUUGGGUCAAUGGGCGGAAGCCUGAACCAGCCAUGCCGCGUGAAGGAAUAAGGCCCUAUGGGUCGUAAACUUCUUUUGGCGGGGAGCAAUAAGGUCUACGUGUAGACCGAUGAGAGUACUCGUUGAAUAAGCAUCGGCUAACUCCGUGCCAGCAGCCGCGGUAAUACGGAGGAUGCGAGCGUUAUCCGGAUUUAUUGGGUUUAAAGGGAGCGUAGGCGGGCUGUUAAGUCAGCGGUCAAAUGUCAGGGCCCAACCUUGGCAUGCCGUUGAUACUGGCGGCCUUGAGUUCACACAAGGAAGGUGGAAUUCGUCGUGUAGCGGUGAAAUGCUUAGAUAUGACGAAGAACUCCGAUUGCGAAGGCAGCCUUCUGGGGUGUUACUGACGCUGAGGCUCGAAAGUGCGGGAAUCAAACAGGAUUAGAUACACUGGUAGU
RNAcentral lists this ribosomal RNA (442 nucleotides) under uncultured Paraprevotella sp. Its description in RNAcentral is "bacterial SSU rRNA". It matches the Rfam family "Bacterial small subunit ribosomal RNA", at positions 355 to 794 of the family's 1533-position model. The record is from RNAcentral. Lineage: Bacteria; Pseudomonadati; Bacteroidota; Bacteroidia; Bacteroidales; Prevotellaceae.